AUGGCUCAGAACGAACGCUGGCGGCAUGCCUAACACAUGCAAGUCGAACGAGAUCUUCGGAUCUAGUGGCGCACGGGUGCGUAACGCGUGGGAAUCUGCCCUUGGGUUCGGAAUAACAGUGAGAAAUUACUGCUAAUACCGGAUGAUGUCUUCGGACCAAAGAUUUAUCGCCCAGGGAUGAGCCCGCGUAGGAUUAGGUAGUUGGUGGGGUAAUGGCCUACCAAGCCGACGAUCCUUAGCUGGUCUGAGAGGAUGAUCAGCCACACUGGGACUGAGACACGGCCCAGACUCCUACGGGAGGCAGCAGUGGGGAAUAUUGGACAAUGGGCGAAAGCCUGAUCCAGCAAUGCCGCGUGAGUGAUGAAGGCCUUAGGGUUGUAAAGCUCUUUUACCAGGGAUGAUAAUGACAGUACCUGGAGAAUAAGCUCCGGCUAACUCCGUGCCAGCAGCCGCGGUAAUACGGAGGGAGCUAGCGUUGUUCGGAAUUACUGGGCGUAAAGCGCGCGUAGGCGGUUACUCAAGUCAGAGGUGAAAGCCCGGGGCUCAACCCCGGAACUGCCUUUGAAACUAGGUGACUAGAAUCUUGGAGAGGUCAGUGGAAUUCCGAGUGUAGAGGUGAAAUUCGUAGAUAUUCGGAAGAACACCAGUGGCGAAGGCGACUGACUGGACAAGUAUUGACGCUGAGGUGC
RNAcentral lists this ribosomal RNA (689 nucleotides) under uncultured Sphingomonas sp. Its description in RNAcentral is "bacterial SSU rRNA". It matches the Rfam family "Bacterial small subunit ribosomal RNA", at positions 19 to 754 of the family's 1533-position model. The record is from RNAcentral. Lineage: Bacteria; Pseudomonadati; Pseudomonadota; Alphaproteobacteria; Sphingomonadales; Sphingomonadaceae.